Molecule: ribosomal RNA, 486 nt
Filed under: uncultured bacterium
Lineage: Bacteria
Description: bacterial SSU rRNA
Rfam family: Bacterial small subunit ribosomal RNA
Source: RNAcentral
GAUGAACGCUAGCGGGAGGCUUAACACAUGCAAGUCGAGGGGCAUCACGAGGUAGCAAUACUUUGGUGGCGACCGGCGCACGGGUGAGUAACACGUAUGCAACCUACCCCGUACAGGGGGAUAACCCGGAGAAAUUCGGACUAAUAUCCCAUACAAUUAUUGGAGGGCAUCCUUUGAUAAUUAAAGCUCAGGCGGUAUAGGAUGGGCAUGCGGAACAUUAGCUAGUUGGUAGGGUAACGGCCUACCAAGGCUACGAUGUUUAGGGGACCUGAGAGGGUUAUCCCCCACACUGGUACUGAGACACGGACCAGACUCCUACGGGAGGCAGCAGUGAGGAAUAUUGGUCAAUGGGCGCAAGCCUGAACCAGCCAUCCCGCGUGAAGGAAGAAGGCCCUAUGGGUUGUAAACUUCUUUUCCAGGGGGUGAAUAAUUCCGAUGUAUCGGGAGAUGACGGUACCCUGGGAAUAAGCAUCGGCUAACUCCGUG